GGUCCGGUGGUGAAACUGGUAUACACGCAAGACUUAAAAUCUUGUGGCAGCAAUGCCGUGUGGGUUCGAGUCCCACCCGGACCA
Candidatus Curtissbacteria bacterium is the source of this 84-nucleotide non-coding RNA. Lineage: Bacteria; Candidatus Curtissiibacteriota. The record is from Rfam.